Molecule: long non-coding RNA, 466 nt
Filed under: Brassica rapa (field mustard)
Lineage: Eukaryota; Viridiplantae; Streptophyta; Magnoliopsida; Brassicales; Brassicaceae
Description: long non-coding RNA (BRAP_LNC002263)
Source: RNAcentral
AUUACCUUUCUCUUUCACCGACAAUUUACCUUGUCUGAGAGAAAGACUAGAUUCAGAUUCAAUCUAGCUAGAGUCGUUGAGAACCCUCAAACGACUCCGUCCUGUUUCAAACUUUGCAACUGGUACACUCUUUGUGAGAAUAUCAGCUGGAUUCUCCAAAGUACCAAUCUUAGACACCACAACCGAUCCGUCAGCAACAACAUCUCUGAUGAAGUGGAGACGCACGUCUAUAUGUUUCGUCCUUUCGUGAAAGACGCUCUUUCGAGCUAAACAUAGCGCACUUUGUGAAUCACAGAAGAUCUCCGCUUGCUUCUGUUCAAUUCCAAACUCAGAGGUAAUACCUUUUAACCACAGAGCUUCUUUUGUAGCUUCUACUAACGCCAUAUAUUCGGCUUCAGUUGUAGACAGAGCUACAAUGUGUUGAAGUCCCGAACGCCAGCUCACAGUGUUCCCACCUACUUGGAAC